UGGCCGAGUGCAUUAGCUAGUUGGUAAGGUAAACGGCUUACCAAGGCGAUGAUGCAUAGCCGAGUUGAGAGACUGAUCGGCCACAUUGGGACUGAGACACGGCCCAAACUCCUACGGGAGGCAGCAGUAGGGAAUCUUCCACAAUGGACGCAAGUCUGAUGGAGCAACGCCGCGUGAGUGAAGAAGGUUUUCGGAUCGUAAAGCUCUGUUGUUGGUGAAGGAAGGAUAGAGGUAGUAACUGGCCUUUAUUUGACGGUAAUCAACCAGAAAGUCACGGGCUAACUACGUGCCAGCAGCCGCGGUAAAU
Molecule: ribosomal RNA, 307 nt
Filed under: uncultured Lactobacillus sp.
Lineage: Bacteria; Bacillati; Bacillota; Bacilli; Lactobacillales; Lactobacillaceae
Description: bacterial SSU rRNA
Rfam family: Bacterial small subunit ribosomal RNA
Source: RNAcentral